RNAcentral lists this ribosomal RNA (427 nucleotides) under uncultured bacterium. RNAcentral describes it as "bacterial SSU rRNA". It matches the Rfam family "Bacterial small subunit ribosomal RNA", at positions 354 to 796 of the family's 1533-position model. The record is from RNAcentral.
GUGAGGAAUAUUGCGCAAUGGGGGAAACCCUGACGCAGCGACGCCGCGUGGGUGACGAAGGCCUUCGGGUCGUAAAACCCUUUUGGCAGGGACGAGUGAGGACGGUACCUGCAGAACAAGUCUCGGCUAACUACGUGCCAGCAGCCGCGGUAAAACGUAGGAGGCGAGCGUUAUCCGGAUUUACUGGGCGUAAAGCGCGCGUAGGCGGUUGGUCAAGUCGGAUGUAAAAGCCCCUGGCUCAACUGGGGGAGGCCAUUCGAUACUGAUCGGCUUGAGGGUGAGAGAGGAAAGUGGAAUUCCCGGUGUAGCGGUGGAAUGCGUAGAGAUCGGGAGGAACACCAGUGGCGAAAGCGGCUUUCUGGCUCACCCCUGACGCUGAGUGCACGAAAGCGUGGGGAGCAAACGGGAUUAGAAACCCUAGUAGUCC